AGGUCUUGACAUCGGAUGCAUAUCUAAGAGAUUAGAGAAGUUCCUUCGGGGACAUCCAGACAGGUGGUGCAUGGUUGUCGUCAGCUCGUGUCGUGAGAUGUUGGGUUAAGUCCCGCAACGAGCGCAACCCUUACCAUUAGUUGCUACGCAAGAGCACUCUAAUGGGACUGCCGUUGACAAAACGGAGGAAGGUGGGGAUGACGUCAAAUCAUCAUGCCCCUUAUGACCUGGGCUACACACGUACUACAAUGGCAAUCAACAAAGAGAAGCGAAACAGCGAUGUGGAGCAAAUCUCGAAAAAUUGUCCCAGUUCGGAUUGCAGGCUGCAACUCGCCUGCAUGAAGUCGGAAUUGCUAGUAAUCGCGGAUCAGCAUGCCGCGGUGAAUACGUUCUCGGGCC
RNAcentral lists this ribosomal RNA (399 nucleotides) under uncultured bacterium. RNAcentral describes it as "bacterial SSU rRNA". It matches the Rfam family "Bacterial small subunit ribosomal RNA", at positions 976 to 1380 of the family's 1533-position model. The record is from RNAcentral.